This 429-nucleotide ribosomal RNA is filed under the name Bacteroidota bacterium. RNAcentral describes it as "Bacteroidetes bacterium partial 16S ribosomal RNA". It matches the Rfam family "Bacterial small subunit ribosomal RNA", at positions 355 to 776 of the family's 1533-position model. The record is from RNAcentral. Lineage: Bacteria; Pseudomonadati; Bacteroidota.
UAGGGAAUCUUCGGCAAUGGGGGGAACCCUGACCGAGCAACGCCGCGUGAGUGAAGAAGGUUUUCGGAUCGUAAAGCUCUGUUGUUAAGGAAGAACGAGUGUGAGAAUGGAAAGUUCAUGCUGUGACGGUACUUAACCAGAAAGGGACGGCUAAUUACGUGCCAGCAGCCGCGGUAAUACGUAAGGUCCGAGCGUUGUCCGGAAUCAUUGGGCGUAAAGGGUACGUAGGCGGGUAAGCAAGUUAGAAGUGAAAUCCUGUAGCUCAACUACAGUAAGCUUUUAAAACUGCUCAUCUUGAGAUAUGGAAGGGAAAGUGGAAUUCCUAGUGUAGCGGUGAAAUGCGCAGAUAUUAGGAGGAAUACCGGUGGCGAAGGCGACUUUCUGGCCAUAAUCUGACGCUGAGGUACGAAAGCGUGGGUAGCAAACAGG